CAGCAGCCGCGGUAAUACGUAGGGUGCAAGCGUUAAUCGGAAUUACUGGGCGUAAAGCGUGCGCAGGCGGUUAUAUAAGACAGAUGUGAAAUCCCCGGGCUCAACCUGGGAACUGCAUUUGUGACUGUAUAGCUAGAGUACGGCAGAGGGGGAUGGAAUUCCGCGUGUAGCAGUGAAAUGCGUAGAUAUGCGGAGGAACACCGAUGGCGAAGGCAAUCCCCUGGGCCUGUACUGACGCUCAUGCACGAAAGCGUGGGGAGCAAACAGGAUUAGAUACCCCCUAGUCCCUGUCUCUUAUACA
RNAcentral lists this ribosomal RNA (301 nucleotides) under uncultured bacterium. RNAcentral's name for it is "partial 16S ribosomal RNA". It matches the Rfam family "Bacterial small subunit ribosomal RNA", at positions 509 to 808 of the family's 1533-position model. The record is from RNAcentral.